GAUGAAGAACGUAGCGAAAUGCGAUACUUGGUGUGAAUUGCAGAAUUCAGUGAAUCAUCGAAUCUUUGAACGCACAUUGCGCCCUCUGGUAUUCCGGGGGGCAUGCCUGUUCGAGCGUCAUUAUAACCACUCAAGCUCUCGCUUGGUAUUGGGGUUCGCGGUUCCGCGGCCCCUAAAAUCAGUGGCGGUGCCUGUCGGCUCUACGCGUAGUAAUACUCCUCGCGAUUGAGUCCGGUAGGUCUACUUGCCAGCAACCCCCAAUUUUUACAGGUUGACCUCGGAUCAGGUAGGGAUACCCGCUGAACUUAAGCAUAUCAAUAAGCGGAGGA
This 329-nucleotide unclassified non-coding RNA is filed under the name soil metagenome. Its description in RNAcentral is "partial contains 5.8S ribosomal RNA, internal transcribed spacer 2, and large subunit ribosomal RNA". The stretch from base 1 to 120 matches the Rfam family "5.8S ribosomal RNA", at positions 35 to 154 of the family's 154-position model. The record is from RNAcentral.